UACGAAGGGUGCAAACGUUGCUCGGAAUUAUUGGGCGUAAAGCGCACGUAGGCGGCUUUGCAAGUCGGAAGUGAAAGCCCUCGGCUCAACCAAGGAAGUGCUUUCGAAACUGCAAAGCUUGAGUACUUAAGAGGAUCGCGGAAUUCCCGGUGUAGAGGUGAAAUUCGUAGAUAUCGGGAGGAACACCAGUGGCGAAGGCGGCGAUCUGGGAAGAUACUGACGCUGAGGUGCGAAAGCGUGGGGAGCAAACAGG
Molecule: ribosomal RNA, 253 nt
Filed under: uncultured bacterium
Lineage: Bacteria
Description: partial 16S ribosomal RNA
Rfam family: Bacterial small subunit ribosomal RNA
Source: RNAcentral